RNAcentral lists this ribosomal RNA (375 nucleotides) under uncultured bacterium. RNAcentral's name for it is "bacterial SSU rRNA". It matches the Rfam family "Bacterial small subunit ribosomal RNA", at positions 521 to 896 of the family's 1533-position model. The record is from RNAcentral.
UAAGACGAACUGUGCAAACGUUAUUCGGAAUCACUGGGCUUAAAGGGUGCGUAGGCGGUCUGUUAAGUAGGGUGUGAAAGCCUCUGGCUCAACCAGAGAAUGGCGCCCUAAACUGGCGGGCUUGAGUGAGGUAGGGGUGUGUGGAACUUCCAGUGGAGCGGUGAAAUGUGUUGAUAUUGGAAGGAACGCCGGUGGCGAAAGCGACACACUGGACCUUGUCUGACGCUGAGGCACGAAAGCCAGGGGAGCGAACGGGAUUAGAUACCCCGGUAGUCCUGGCCGUAAACGCUGAGUACUAGUGGGGAGGGGCCUGCGCCCUUCCUCACGGAGCAAAAGUUUUAAGUACUCCGCCUGGGGAGUAUGGUCGCAAGGCUG